AUCAAGCUGAUGAGCCCUAACUAGGACGAAACGCGCGUCCUUAAU
This 45-nucleotide non-coding RNA is filed under the name Schistosoma mattheei. Lineage: Eukaryota; Metazoa; Platyhelminthes; Trematoda; Strigeidida; Schistosomatidae. The record is from RNAcentral.